Molecule: small nuclear RNA, 103 nt
Organism: Phyllostomus hastatus (greater spear-nosed bat)
Lineage: Eukaryota; Metazoa; Chordata; Mammalia; Chiroptera; Phyllostomidae
Source: RefSeq, a predicted model, not a curated record
UUGCUUCAGCAGCACAAACACUAAAAGUGGAAUGAUACAAAGAAGAUUAGCAUGGCCCCUGCGCAAGGAUGGCUUGCAAAUUCAUGAAGUGUUCCAAAGUCUU